CGAAAAUAAUAGAUUUGUCCUUGGCCCGCUAAGUCGAAGGACCCGCAGUUUAAUUCCGUGGUAUUUUUGA
RNAcentral lists this transfer RNA (70 nucleotides) under Ophiarachnella gorgonia. Its description in RNAcentral is "tRNA-Ser". The record is from RNAcentral. Lineage: Eukaryota; Metazoa; Echinodermata; Ophiuroidea; Amphilepidida; Ophiodermatidae.